RNAcentral lists this ribosomal RNA (503 nucleotides) under Orthopyxis integra. RNAcentral describes it as "partial 16S ribosomal RNA". It matches the Rfam family "Bacterial large subunit ribosomal RNA", at positions 1884 to 2540 of the family's 2925-position model. The record is from RNAcentral. Lineage: Eukaryota; Metazoa; Cnidaria; Hydrozoa; Leptothecata; Campanulariidae.
GGUUUUAAAUUUAAAAGAAUAAAUUCUUAUAAUAAAACUAAAAGGACGCGGUAACCUUGACCGUGAUAAUGUAGCAUAAUCACUCGCCAUUUAAUUGAUGGAUAGUAUGAAUGGUUGAACGAAUAUUUCACUGUCUUAAAAAGAAUCAAAUAAAAUUAAAAUAAUAGUUAAGAUGCUAUUUUAAAUUGUAAGACGAAAAGACCCUAUAGAGCUUAACUAUAAUCUUCUUAUAGCAAAAAGAAAACAAUAUUUUCAACCUUAAGAAGACUGGUAGUUUAGUUGGGGCGACUACCUUCUAUUUUAAACGAAGGUAAGCAAAGUUAAUAAAAAACUUAUUAUAUAAAAAAAAUAUUUAAUAAUUACAAAAGUAGGCUAUAAUGACCCGUUAACAUUACAUAAAAGAGUUAACGAUCAAUUAAUAAAAGCUACCUUAGGGAUAACAGGAUAAUUUCAUUUUAGAGUUCCUAUCGAAAAUGAAGUUUGUCACCUCUAUGUUGAAUUAA